Molecule: unclassified non-coding RNA, 137 nt
Filed under: uncultured fungus
Lineage: Eukaryota; Fungi
Description: sequence contains ITS1
Source: RNAcentral
UUAUUUGUUUUUAUUUGUUAUACGUUCAUUACACAUUGUUUGAAGAUCGGCCCGGAGGCCACAGUUCACAAAGGUUUGAAUAUGUUAAAGUCCGAAGACAUUCACUAAUGAUCCUUCCGCAGGUUCACCUACGGAAA